This 253-nucleotide ribosomal RNA is filed under the name uncultured bacterium. RNAcentral describes it as "partial 16S ribosomal RNA". It matches the Rfam family "Bacterial small subunit ribosomal RNA", at positions 524 to 776 of the family's 1533-position model. The record is from RNAcentral.
CACGUAGGGUGCGAGCGUUGUCCGGAAUUAUUGGGCGUAAAGCGCACGUAGGCGGCUAUCUAAGUCGGAUGUGAAAUCCCUCGGCUUAACCAAGGAAGUGCACCCGAAACUGGAUAGCUUGAGUACAGAAGAGGAUCGCGGAAUUCCCGGUGUAGAGGUGAAAUUCGUAGAUAUCGGGAGGAACACCAGUGGCGAAGGCGGCGAUCUGGGCUGAUACUGACGCUGAGGCGCGAAAGCCAGGGGAGCAAACGGG